UGAGUACGAGCUGCUACGGCAGCGAAGUGGGUGAUGUCAUGCUUCCAAGAAAAGCCCUAUACCCGUUAAGGCAUGAUGGCCUGUACCCGAAACCGACACAGGUGGGGUGGUAGAGAAUACCGAGGGGCGCGAGGUAACUCUCUCUAAGGAACUCGGCAAAAUGGCCCCGUAACUUCGGGAGAAGGGGUGCCACCGCAAGGUGGUCGCAGUGAAGAGGCCCAGGCGACUGUUUACCAAAAACACAGGUCUCCGCUAAGUCGCAAGACGAUGUAUGGGGGCUGACGCCUGCCCAGUGCCGGAAGGUUAAGGAAGCUGGUCGGCGUAAGCGAAGCUAGCGACUGAAGCCCCGGUGAACGGCGGCCGUAACUAUAACGGUCCUAAGGUAGCGAAAUUCCUUGUCGGGUAAGUUCCGACCCGCACGAAAGGCGUAACGAUCUGGGCGCUGUCUCGGAGAGAGGCUCGGCGAAAUAGAAUUGUCUGUGAAGAUGCGGACUACGUGCACCCGGACAGAAAGACCCUAUGAAGCUUUACUGUAGCUUGGUAUUGUGCUCGGGCUCGGAAUGCGCAGGAUAGGUGGGAGGCUAUGAACCAUUGCUUGUGGGUGAUGGUGAGCCACUGGUGAGAUACCACUCUUUCCGAGCUAGAGUUCUAACAGCCACCCGUUGUCCGGGGGCUGGACAGUAUCAGGUGGGCAGUUUGACUGGGGCGGUCGCCUCCUAAAAGGUAACGGAGGCGCGCAAAGGUUUGCUCAGGCUGGUUGGAAAUCAGCCGACGAGUGUAAAAGCAGAAGCAAGCUUGACUGUGAGACCUACAAGUCGAACAGGGAGGAAACUCGGCUUUAGUGAUCCGACGGUUCUGCGUGGAAGGGCCGUCGCUCAACGGAUAAAAGUUACUCUAAGGAUAACAGGCUGAUCUCCCCCAAGAGUUCACAUCGACGGGGAGGUUUGGCACCUCGAUGUCGGCUCAUCGCAACCUGGGGCUGAAGUCGGUCCCAAGGGUUGGGCUGUUCGCCCAUUAAAGCGGUACGCGAGCUGGGUUCAGAACGUCGUGAGACAGUUCGGUCCAUAUCCGGUGCAUGCGCAGGAAUAUUGAGAGGAUUUCUCCCUAGUACGAGAGGACCGGGAGGAACGCACCUCUGGUGUACCAGUUAUCGUGCCAACGGUAAACGCUGGGUAGCCAUGUGCGGAGAGGAUAACCGCUGAAAGCAUCUAAGUGGGAAGCCCACCUCAAGAUGAGUAUUCCCAUGGGGUAACCCAGUAAGGUCACGGGAAGAACACCCGUUGAUAGGCUCUACGUGGAAGCGCAGUAAUGUGUGAAGCGGAGGAGUACUAAUAGACCGAGGGCUUGACCG
This 1351-nucleotide ribosomal RNA is filed under the name metagenome. Its description in RNAcentral is "bacterial LSU rRNA". It matches the Rfam family "Bacterial large subunit ribosomal RNA", at positions 1564 to 2925 of the family's 2925-position model. The record is from RNAcentral.